RNAcentral lists this ribosomal RNA (253 nucleotides) under uncultured bacterium. Its description in RNAcentral is "partial 16S ribosomal RNA". It matches the Rfam family "Bacterial small subunit ribosomal RNA", at positions 524 to 776 of the family's 1533-position model. The record is from RNAcentral.
UACAGAGGUGGCAGGCGUUGUUCGGAAUUACUGGGCGUAAAGGGCGCGUAGGCGGUCUUCUAAGUCUUGUGUGAAAUCCCUCGGCUCAACUGAGGAACUGCACGGGAUACUGGAAGACUUGAGUUCGGGAGAGGGAAGCGGAAUUCCGGGUGUAGCGGUGAAAUGCGUAGAUAUCCGGAGGAACACCGGUGGCGAAGGCGGCUUCCUGGACCAGUACCGACGUUCAGGCACGAAAGCGUGGGGAGCAAACAGG